RNAcentral lists this ribosomal RNA (1628 nucleotides) under Triticum aestivum (bread wheat). RNAcentral describes it as "partial small subunit ribosomal RNA". The record is from RNAcentral. Lineage: Eukaryota; Viridiplantae; Streptophyta; Magnoliopsida; Poales; Poaceae.
UGAUGAGGAUGAGUCGUUAGUAGUCGUAGAACAAUGUUAAGGAUGAGUCCGUUGAAACCUCGUCGCCGGCGGCUGCGGCACAAGCACUUUUACACGUUCUUUCGGUAGGCUAUGCGGCACCACCUGCGGAAGCGCUGGCUCGGCAAGUUCCCGUUGGGGCGGCGCCACACGGAGGAGCUGCUGCUGUUGCGGCGCCUGCUCGCCACCUACGUCAGGCAGCGGUGGCUCAAGUUGGAGAGGCUCUGGCGGAAGGAGCAGGCGCUGAACAGGGCCGGGCGGUCGCGGCGCGGCGAGAAGGUGGAAGCUACCAAGUGGGGGCAGUGGCUCCAUUGGUGUAUCGGGAGGCAGGUAGAGGAGGGGUUUAGGAGCCUAGGGGAAAGAUGAUGGUCGUAGCUGGCUAGACUUGUUGGGCAGCUGACCGGACGGAGCUGGGGCUCGUGCGCAGCAGCGAAAGUCCAGCUGGACACACCCGUGCGCUGCAACCGGAGGCGGGUGAAGGAGAAGUGCCGGCAAGACGGCCUCGUACCGUACUAGCUCAAGUACUGGUUUAGGCCGUAGGACUGACGCUUCUUUCAAGGACGCGGUCCCCCGCGUCCGCUCCGGGUGCCCUUCGACAAAUAACUCGACUUAAAGGGGUACUAACUAAAGGACCUGACGUUGCUCUACGGCAGCUAAGGUCUCUGGGAUUUGCCGCGUGGUCACCAGUCACAAGUGUUUAGCCGCCGGCUGCCACUAGAGUAACACCUUGAAAGAAGUCGUUUUCUCCAACGGCUGUAGGAAGGAUUGUAGCUUCUUUAAUUCUUCAACAGUACACCACCAUAGUACCAAUGUCCUGGCCGUGGACGACCUAGACCAAUAUUGAAGAAGUGUGCAAAUAAGACGGGCUUUAAACCCUACCUACUCCUGGGACAAUGACCGUCAUAUGUAACACAUAACCCUGGGAAAACCCCAUCUUUCGAACCCUUCGUUUUUGACUGCCGUAAAGUUCGUAGAGGUUCCCCACCUUGCGAUAUGGACCUUGACCUACUGCGUUUAGCCGCUCACUUUUAGGUUCCUCUUUGGCAAUGACAGUACAGGCCCUGUGAGGACCACAUUAUACGUACGACGAACUUUUGAAAGUCCGGAGGAAACCAAAUCUCCUUAAAGUAUCCUUAAGAUCUCCUAUCCUAAGAAUAUCCUAAAAAAAGAAAUCUCGGGAAACCAAGUAUCCUUACCUAAGGAUAAGGAUAUAUCCUAACCAAGGAUAGGAGGUGUAAAGUAUCCUUUUAUUUUUUCUCGGAUCUGAGUCACCUUUUUAAGGAAACCACAGUUGGUUUACUGUAGAACAAAGAAUAAGGAUGAGUAUCCUAAACUCUAUGUACAGUAGAGUAAAGGAUGUUCUAAGGAUAAGGAUAUUAUUAGGAUAGGAUACUUGGUUUUUUCCGGAGUCACCAAAAAACUCCCAGUGAUGCGGCCGGCACAUACUAGACUUGGAUUUUGUUACCUACGAAUUUUAUAUGUAACUGUAUUAACGUCAAUACCGUCUAUCUAUAAUACACCUUUAGCUGAGACAGCACGAUGUAGAUAUAGAUAUAUAUAUAUAUAUAUAUAUAUUGAUGAUAAUUUCCCUCCACUAUAAGAAUAAAAGC